CGACGAAAAGCUCUGGGAUUCCAAGCAUGAGAGUCUGAGCGUUGAAAUUGAGCGAGUUAAGAAAGAAAACGACAACAUGCAUAUUGAACUAAGGCAUCUUAAGGGUGAGGAUCUCAACUCCCUUUACCCAAAGGAAUUGAUUCCUAUUGAGGAGGCACUCCAGAUUGGGUCACCAGCGUAAGGGAAAAGCAAAUGGAAAUCUGGAAGAUGCACAAGAAGAAUGAAAAAUUUCUAGAGGAGGAGAACAAACAACUGACUUAUAUGCAGUCAACUCUUAAUGGUUCAACAUCUAAUCUUGCGGACUCCUCAGGCCGACCCUAUACCACAU
Zingiber officinale is the source of this 328-nucleotide long non-coding RNA. RefSeq lists it as uncharacterized. The transcript has 6 exons. NCBI's taxonomy places the organism in Eukaryota, Viridiplantae, Streptophyta, Magnoliopsida, Zingiberales, Zingiberaceae. The record is from RefSeq and is a predicted model, not a curated record.